This 76-nucleotide transfer RNA is filed under the name Nitrosomonas halophila. RNAcentral describes it as "tRNA-Arg". It matches the Rfam family "tRNA". From Rfam's summary of the family: Transfer RNA (tRNA) molecules are approximately 80 nucleotides in length. Their secondary structure includes four short double-helical elements and three loops (D, anti-codon, and T loops). Further hydrogen bonds mediate the characteristic L-shaped molecular structure. tRNAs have two regions of fundamental functional importance: the anti-codon, which is responsible for specific mRNA codon recognition, and the 3' end, to which the tRNAs corresponding amino acid is attached (by aminoacyl-tRNA synthetases). tRNAs cope with the degeneracy of the genetic code in two manners: having more than one tRNA (with a specific anti-codon) for a particular amino acid; and 'wobble' base-pairing, i.e. permitting non-standard base-pairing at the 3rd anti-codon position. The record is from RNAcentral. RNAcentral also lists the same sequence under 6 other names. Lineage: Bacteria; Pseudomonadati; Pseudomonadota; Betaproteobacteria; Nitrosomonadales; Nitrosomonadaceae.
GCGCCCAUAGCUCAGUGGAUAGAGUACCGCCCUCCGAAGGCGGGGGUCGCACGUUCGAAUCGUGCUGGGCGCGCCA